This 27-nucleotide non-coding RNA is filed under the name Cricetulus griseus (Chinese hamster). The record is from RNAcentral. Lineage: Eukaryota; Metazoa; Chordata; Mammalia; Rodentia; Cricetidae.
CAGGCUGGCCCGGACGUCAGAUGGUGC